RNAcentral lists this ribosomal RNA (465 nucleotides) under uncultured bacterium. RNAcentral describes it as "partial 16S ribosomal RNA". It matches the Rfam family "Bacterial small subunit ribosomal RNA", at positions 28 to 507 of the family's 1533-position model. The record is from RNAcentral.
GACGAACGCUGGCGGCGUGCUUAACACAUGCAAGUCGAACGGAAAGGCCCCUUUGGGGGUACUCGAGUGGCGAACGGGUGAGUAACACGUGAGUAACCUGCCCUUGACUUCGGGAUAACUUCAGGAAACUGGGGCUAAUACCGGAUAGGAAUCCUUGCUGCAUGGUGGGGGUUGGAAAGCUUCGGCGGUUUUGGAUGGACUCGCGGCUUAUCAGCUUGUUGGUGGGGUAGUGGCUUACCAAGGCUUUGACGGGUAGCCGGCCUGAGAGGGCGACCGGCCACAUUGGGACUGAGAGACGGCCCGGCCGCCUACGGGGGGAAGAGGGGGGGAUUAUGGCACAUGGGGGGGAGGCCUGAGGCAGCACCGCGGGGGGGGGGAGGCCGGCCUUCGGGUUGUAACCCGCUUCCAGCGGGGGAGAGGCUUGGGGUGAGGGUCCGUGAAAAAGAAGCACCGGCAAACUCCGUC